Camelus ferus (Wild Bactrian camel) is the source of this 72-nucleotide transfer RNA. It matches the Rfam family "tRNA". From Rfam's summary of the family: Transfer RNA (tRNA) molecules are approximately 80 nucleotides in length. Their secondary structure includes four short double-helical elements and three loops (D, anti-codon, and T loops). The record is from Rfam. Lineage: Eukaryota; Metazoa; Chordata; Mammalia; Artiodactyla; Camelidae.
GAGGGUAGCGCUCAGUGGUAGAGUGUGUGUUUAGCAUGCACAAGGUCCUGGGUUUGAUCCCCAAUACCUCCA